UACGUAGGGUGCAAGCGUUGUCCGGAAUUAUUGGGCGUAAAGAGCUCGUAGGCGGUUUGUCGCGUCUGCUGUGAAAACUCGGGGCUUAACUCCGGGCCUGCAGUGGGUACGGGCAGACUAGAGUGAUGUAGGGGAGACUGGAAUUCCUGGUGUAGCGGUGAAAUGCGCAGAUAUCAGGAGGAACACCGAUGGCGAAGGCAGGUCUCUGGGCCACUACUGACGCUGAGAAGCGAAAGCAUGGGGAGCGAACAGG
RNAcentral lists this ribosomal RNA (253 nucleotides) under uncultured bacterium. RNAcentral's name for it is "partial 16S ribosomal RNA". It matches the Rfam family "Bacterial small subunit ribosomal RNA", at positions 524 to 776 of the family's 1533-position model. The record is from RNAcentral.